Molecule: long non-coding RNA, 571 nt
Filed under: Homo sapiens (human)
Lineage: Eukaryota; Metazoa; Chordata; Mammalia; Primates; Hominidae
Description: HSALNT0107999
Source: RNAcentral
AUGAAAAAUUACCUUUGAAUCUGGAUGAAAAAUUAAAAACAAUAUUAAGUAUGUUUCCUUCGAAUUUGUCAGAUAUUCAUUGCUCAGCCAAUGCUUGGAUACCAUGUCAGAUUUGACUUCCUAGACAGAAGGUCCAUUGGAGGCUGCUUCUCCAGGUCAUAAAUUGUGUGAGUGUUCACUCUCAGAUUAGGAAAACUGUGUUGCUUAGCGGGACAUGUGACUAGGUCAGAAGUCUCUCAAUUUCGAUGUUCAAUGUCACAACCGGCCUUAGUUUCACUGUUAUUCAUCAACCACCUAAACAAUAAAAUUAAUAUGUAGAUCUGAAUGUGUCUCAUUCCUUACAUCUCUUUCUCAGUUGGUUCAGGACUUAGGCAGAGAAAACAAAAAUGGCAUAUUCGAUGCUCAGUCAAAUACCAAUAUAACAUAAACAAAGAAUAAUAAUGUGAUGGUUACUUAGAGAAAGGUUAAAUGAAGCUUUUUGUGGAGUUUCCAUAUAGACAUGACUUUCAAAAUGAAACUUAUAAAAAUAGUAAUAUGUGCUAGAUAGAAGAAAGUCAUAGGUAGAAAGCCU